Molecule: ribosomal RNA, 305 nt
Filed under: uncultured bacterium
Lineage: Bacteria
Description: bacterial SSU rRNA
Rfam family: Bacterial small subunit ribosomal RNA
Source: RNAcentral
CAAUACCUACGGGAGGCAGCAGUGGGGGAUAUUGCACAAUGGGGGGAACCCUGAUGCAGCGACGCCGCGUGGGUGAAGAAGCGCCUCGGCGCGUAAAGCCCCGUCAGCAGGGAAGAAAAUGACGGUACCUGAAGAAGAAGCCCCGGCUAACUACGUGCCAGCAGCCGCGGUAAUACGUAGGGGGCAAGCGUUAUCCGGAUUUACUGGGUGUAAAGGGGGCGCAGACGGCGAUGCAAGCCAGGAGUGAAAACCCGGGGCCCACCCCCGGGACCGCUCUUGGACCUGCGUGGCUGGAGUGCCGGAGG